UUCCCUACGAGGCAGCAGUGGGGAAUAUUGCACAAUGGGCGCAAGCCUGAUGCAGCGACGCCGCGUGAGGGAUGACGGCCUUCGGGUUGUAAACCUCUUUCAGUAGGGAAGAAGCGAAAGUGACGGUACCUGCAGAAGAAGCGCCGGCUAACUACGUGCCAGCAGCCGCGGUAAUACGUAGGGCGCAAGCGUUAUCCGGAAUUAUUGGGCGUAAAGAGCUCGUAGGCGGUUUGUCGCGUCUGCUGUGAAAGACCGGGGCUCAACUCCGGUUCUGCAGUGGGUACGGGCAGACUAGAGUGCAGUAGGGGAGACUGGAAUUCCUGGUGUAGCGGUGAAAUGCGCAGAUAUCAGGAGGAACACCGAUGGCGAAGGCAGGUCUCUGGGCUGUAACUGACGCUGAGGAGCGAAAGCAUGGGGAGCGAACAGGAUUAGAUACCCUGGUAGUCCAUGCCGUAAACGUUGGGCACUAGGUGUGGGGGACAUUCCACGUUUUCCGCGCCGUAGCUAACGCAUUAAGUGCCCCGCCUGGGAGUACGC
This 537-nucleotide ribosomal RNA is filed under the name Paenarthrobacter aurescens. RNAcentral describes it as "bacterial SSU rRNA". It matches the Rfam family "Bacterial small subunit ribosomal RNA", at positions 335 to 885 of the family's 1533-position model. The record is from RNAcentral. Lineage: Bacteria; Bacillati; Actinomycetota; Actinomycetes; Micrococcales; Micrococcaceae.